AACGUAGGAGACGAACGUUAUCCGGAGUUACUGGGCGUAAAGGGCGUGUAGGCGGUCUGAUAAGUUCGGCGUGAAAUUUCCCGGCUUAACCGGGGGAUGUCGUCGGAGACUGUCGGACUAGAGGGUGAUAGAGGCGUGUGGAAUUCCGGGUGUAGUGGUGAAAUGCGUAGAGAUCCGGAGGAACACCAGUGGCGAAGGCGACACGCUGGGUCACACCUGACGCUAAAACGCGACAGCAUGGGGAGCAAACGGG
Molecule: ribosomal RNA, 253 nt
Filed under: uncultured bacterium
Lineage: Bacteria
Also listed under: 1 other name
Description: partial 16S ribosomal RNA
Rfam family: Bacterial small subunit ribosomal RNA
Source: RNAcentral